UACGGAGGGUGCAAGCGUUAUCCGGAUUCACUGGGUUUAAAGGGUGUGUAGGCGGAUAGGUAAGUCCGUGGUGAAAUCCUGCAGCUUAACUGCAGAACUGCCAUGGAUACUAUUUAUCUUGAAUGUCGUGGAGGUUAGCAGAAUAUGUCAUGUAGCGGUGAAAUGCGCAGAUAUCAGGAAGAACACCCGUGGCGAAGGCGGCUCUCUGGGACGGUACUGACGCUGAGACGCGAAAGCGUGGGGAGCGAACAGG
This 253-nucleotide ribosomal RNA is filed under the name uncultured bacterium. RNAcentral's name for it is "partial 16S ribosomal RNA". It matches the Rfam family "Bacterial small subunit ribosomal RNA", at positions 524 to 776 of the family's 1533-position model. The record is from RNAcentral.